RNAcentral lists this ribosomal RNA (1433 nucleotides) under Staphylococcus sp. MIS6. RNAcentral's name for it is "16S ribosomal RNA". It matches the Rfam family "Bacterial small subunit ribosomal RNA". The record is from RNAcentral. Lineage: Bacteria; Bacillati; Bacillota; Bacilli; Caryophanales; Staphylococcaceae.
UGCAAGUCGAGCGAACAGAUGAGAAGCUUGCUUCUCUGAUGUUAGCGGCGGACGGGUGAGUAACACGUGGGUAACCUACCUAUAAGACUGGGAUAACUCCGGGAAACCGGGGCUAAUACCGGAUAAUAUUUUGAACCGCAUGGUUCAAUAGUGAAAGACGGUUUCGGCUGUCACUUAUAGAUGGACCCGCGCCGUAUUAGCUAGUUGGUAAGGUAACGGCUUACCAAGGCGACGAUACGUAGCCGACCUGAGAGGGUGAUCGGCCACACUGGAACUGAGACACGGUCCAGACUCCUACGGGAGGCAGCAGUAGGGAAUCUUCCGCAAUGGGCGAAAGCCUGACGGAGCAACGCCGCGUGAGUGAUGAAGGUCUUCGGAUCGUAAAACUCUGUUGUUAGGGAAGAACAAAUUUGUUAGUAACUGAACAAGUCUUGACGGUACCUAACCAGAAAGCCACGGCUAACUACGUGCCAGCAGCCGCGGUAAUACGUAGGUGGCAAGCGUUAUCCGGAAUUAUUGGGCGUAAAGCGCGCGUAGGCGGUUUCUUAAGUCUGAUGUGAAAGCCCACGGCUCAACCGUGGAGGGUCAUUGGAAACUGGGAAACUUGAGUGCAGAAGAGGAGAGUGGAAUUCCAUGUGUAGCGGUGAAAUGCGCAGAGAUAUGGAGGAACACCAGUGGCGAAGGCGGCUCUCUGGUCUGUAACUGACGCUGAUGUGCGAAAGCGUGGGGAUCAAACAGGAUUAGAUACCCUGGUAGUCCACGCCGUAAACGAUGAGUGCUAAGUGUUAGGGGGUUUCCGCCCCUUAGUGCUGCAGCUAACGCAUUAAGCACUCCGCCUGGGGAGUACGACCGCAAGGUUGAAACUCAAAGGAAUUGACGGGGACCCGCACAAGCGGUGGAGCAUGUGGUUUAAUUCGAAGCAACGCGAAGAACCUUACCAAAUCUUGACAUCCUUUGACCGCUCUAGAGAUAGAGUCUUCCCCUUCGGGGGACAAAGUGACAGGUGGUGCAUGGUUGUCGUCAGCUCGUGUCGUGAGAUGUUGGGUUAAGUCCCGCAACGAGCGCAACCCUUAAGCUUAGUUGCCAUCAUUAAGUUGGGCACUCUAGGUUGACUGCCGGUGACAAACCGGAGGAAGGUGGGGAUGACGUCAAAUCAUCAUGCCCCUUAUGAUUUGGGCUACACACGUGCUACAAUGGAUAAUACAAAGGGCAGCGAAUCCGCGAGGCCAAGCAAAUCCCAUAAAAUUAUUCUCAGUUCGGAUUGUAGUCUGCAACUCGACUACAUGAAGCUGGAAUCGCUAGUAAUCGUAGAUCAGCAUGCUACGGUGAAUACGUUCCCGGGUCUUGUACACACCGCCCGUCACACCACGAGAGUUUGUAACACCCGAAGCCGGUGGAGUAACCUUUUAGGAGCUAGCCGUCGAAGGUGGGAC